GAUGAACGCUGGCGGUAUGCUUAACACAUGCAAGUCGAACGGACUCUUCGGAGUUAGUGGCGGACGGGUGAGUAACGCGUGAGAAUCUGGCUUUGGGUUCGGGACAACCACUGGAAACGGUGGCUAAUACCGGAUGUGCCGAGAGGUAAAAGAGAAAUUGCCUGAAGAUGAGCUCGCGUCUGAUUAGCUAGUCGGUGAGGUAAAGGCUCACCAAGGCAGCGAUCAGUAGCUGGUCUGAGAGGAUGACCAGCCACACUGGGACUGAGACACGGCCCAGACUCCUACGGGAGGCAGCAGUGGGGAAUUUUCCGCAAUGGGCGAAAGACUGACGGAGCAAUACCGCGUGAGGGAAGAAGGCUCUUGGGUUGUAAACCUCUUUUCUUAGGGAAGAACAAAAUGACGGUACCUAAGGAAUCAGCAUCGGCUAACUCCGUG
Molecule: ribosomal RNA, 435 nt
Filed under: uncultured bacterium
Lineage: Bacteria
Description: partial 16S ribosomal RNA
Rfam family: Bacterial small subunit ribosomal RNA
Source: RNAcentral